GCUGGGCGCAGCAGCACAUGCCUGUAAUCCCAGUGGCUCGGGAGGCUGAGGCAGGAGGAUCCUGAGUUGAAAACCAGCCUCAGCAACAUCAAGGCACUUAGCAACUCAGUGAGACCCUGUCUCUA
RNAcentral lists this small RNA (125 nucleotides) under Marmota monax (woodchuck). Lineage: Eukaryota; Metazoa; Chordata; Mammalia; Rodentia; Sciuridae. The record is from RNAcentral.